Molecule: ribosomal RNA, 1011 nt
Filed under: Triticum aestivum (bread wheat)
Lineage: Eukaryota; Viridiplantae; Streptophyta; Magnoliopsida; Poales; Poaceae
Description: partial small subunit ribosomal RNA
Source: RNAcentral
AUGUCCUUCUUCUUCCGCGCGGCGUCGCGGCCGCGUUCGUCGCAGCAGGACCUCGUGCGCUCCAUCAAGGACUCCCUCCUCGCGCUCGACACCAAGACCGGCGCCAAGGCCCUCGAAGAUGUUGAGAAAAACAUAUUCACCUUGAGACAAACACUUUCUGGUGAUGGAGAAGUUGAACCAAACCAGGAUCAUGUCUUACAGAUAGCCCUUGAAAUUUGCAAGGAGGGUGUCCUUUCUCUUUUUGUUCAGAACCUGCCUUCGCUGGGUUGGGAGGGAAGAAAGGAUCUUGCCCACUGCUGGUGCAUUUUGUUGAGGCAGAAGGUUGAUGAAAGUCACUGCUGCGUGCAGUAUAUCGAAAAUCAUGUUGAUCUUCUAGAUUUCCUUGUUGUAUGCUACAAGAACUUGGAAGUCGCAUUGAACUGUGGAAACAUGUUGCGAGAAUGCAUAAAAUAUCCCUCACUUGCAAAAUAUAUAUUGGAGUCAAAUAGCUUCGAGUUGUUUUUCCAGUAUGUUGAAUUGCCAAACUUUGAUAUUGCUUCUGAUGCUCUGAAUACGUUCAAGGAUUUGCUCACUAGACAUGAAGAUGCAGUCUCUGAGUUUCUCAUUUCCCAUUAUGAACAGUUCUUUGAACUCUACAAAAGGCUUUUAACUUCAGAUAAUUAUGUGACAAGAAGACAAUCAGUGAAGUUUCUUUCAGAGUUUCUGUUGGAGGCCCCAAAUGCUCAGAUAAUGAAGCGGUACAUUUUGGAAGUUCGUUACUUGAACAUUAUGAUGGGUCUACUAAAGGAUUCAAGCAAAAAUAUCAGGAUAUGUUCCUUUCACAUUUUUAAGGUAUUUGUUGCCAAUCCAAACAAGCCUCGUGAUAUUAUUCAAGUUUUGGUAGACAACCACAAAGAAUUAUUGAAGUUGCUCCAUGCUCUUCCUGCAAGCAAAGGUGAAGAUGAACAACUUGACGAGGAGCGAGACUUAAUUGUCAAGGAAAUCGAGAAGCUUGUGCGCUUGUCAGUAUAG